This is a non-coding RNA of Mycena leptocephala, 92 nucleotides long. The record is from the annotation of a GenBank genome assembly. Lineage: Eukaryota; Fungi; Basidiomycota; Agaricomycetes; Agaricales; Mycenaceae.
UCGGACGUGGUGUACUGGACACGGCCUCUUUCAAUGCCUUCAAUUUAACCCAGAGUUGGAGGUAGUCCCGGGUUCAAAUCCCGGCGUCCGAA